RNAcentral lists this ribosomal RNA (497 nucleotides) under uncultured bacterium. Its description in RNAcentral is "partial 16S ribosomal RNA". It matches the Rfam family "Bacterial small subunit ribosomal RNA", at positions 28 to 507 of the family's 1533-position model. The record is from RNAcentral.
GACGAACGCUGGCGGCGUGCCUAAUACAUGCAAGUUGAGCGAUGAAGAUUGGUGCUUGCACCAAUUUGAAGAGCAGCGAACGGGUGAGUAACGCGUGGGGAAUCUGCCUUUGAGCGGGGGACAACAUUUGGAAACGAAUGCUAAUACCGCAUAACAACUUUAAACAUAAGUUUUAAGUUUGAAAGAUGCAAUUGCAUCACUCAAAGAUGAUCCCGCGUUGUAUUAGCUAGUUGGUGAGGUAAAGGCUCACCAAGGCGAUGAUACAUAGCCGACCUGGGAGGGUGAUCGGCCACAUUGGGACUGGUACACGGCCCAAACUCCUACGGGAGGCAGCAGUAGGGAAUCUUCGGCAAUGGACGAAAGUCUGACCGAGCAACGCCGCGUGAGUGAAGAAGGUUUUCGGAUCGUAAAACUCUGUUGGUAGAGAAGAACGUUGGUGAGAGUGGAAAGCUCAUCAAGUGACGGUAACUACCCAGAAAGGGACGGCUAACUACGUG